Hypomesus transpacificus is the source of this 3220-nucleotide RNA transcript. It is a transcript of the gene named ST6 beta-galactosamide alpha-2,6-sialyltranferase 2a, with no coding region annotated. NCBI's taxonomy places the organism in Eukaryota, Metazoa, Chordata, Actinopteri, Osmeriformes, Osmeridae. The record is from RefSeq and is a predicted model, not a curated record. The transcript has 8 exons.
GGAUGUAAGAAAAGGCCAGCAACAAUGUGACAGACAACACCGAUGUGCACCUCGUUCGCGGAGGCGGUUGAUUCACUGCGCUUAAAAAUAGCGGUGUGCAUUUCGCACACUGCGAUUAGACAAACGGCAGAAGAAAAUGGAUAUCGGACGUGUCGAGAACAAUUAAAAUGGGGACGUUUUUUAGGGCCCAAUUCUGCUCUAGAAGAUUCAUGGACUCCAACAAAUAGAAGGGACAUCAUUCGAGGCCCUCCGGCUGACCUCUGGGCAGGUUGCUCUCUGCUGGGCUGGGUGCGGAGGGUCGUCGCUUGCACGUGUCUGUGUGUGUGUGUGUGUGUGUGACCAUGUCCAGUAUGAAGCAGUGGCGUCGGCUGGUGUUGGUGGGCAUGCUAGCCUGGGCCCUUGUCUUCCUGGCCCUACUAUCUUACUUCCUGGAUGCCCACGUGAACGAGCCCCUUUCCUCCUCUGGCCCCGCCUCUUCCUCCUCUUUCUCCUCCCUCUCCCAGCACCCCGACACCCGCCGCCUGGCCUCCGUCCAAGCCCUAACCCACAAACACCAUACCAUCGUGGGCUCCCGUCCCGAGCCGGCCUCCCCUCUUUCCACCGCCUACACAUAUCCGGGCCUGGACCCCACACCCUCUUCCUCCACAUCAGAGCCCAGCCCGGAGAUGAGCCCGAGCCCAGACGGCGCCCCCUACAGCCAGUACGCUACGCAGCAGGACUACCUGGACCCGCAGAGCCUGGCCGCCUGGUCCUCCUUCGGCACGGAGAACGUGGGCUCCUACCCCGACCCGGUGACACGGAACCGGGAAAGAACCUCCGCCAGCCGGCGCCAGAACCAGGCCUCGCGGCGCGGAGAUGGCGGCGAGGAGGUGGAGGAGGAGGAGGAGGAGGGGAACGCUCGCAGGACGACGGCGGGCCGAGGAGAGGCGGCCGACUCGUCCGAGGACUACUACUUCUCCAAGUCGGCCUCGGUGGUCCAGAGGCUGAGGAAGGGCAUCGCCUCGGCCGGGAUGCUGAGCCCCAGGCUGCAGCGCGCCAUGAAGGACUACCUGAGCACCAACAAGCACCACGUGGCCUUCAUGGGCCAGCGGCGUGAGACCCAGAGCCCCAGGGACCUUCUGUGUCAGAUGAAGAGACAGGCCAAGCUGGGCACGCUCGACGGCUCCGAGCAGCCCUUCUCCGACCUGGGCUGGGCCAAGCUGGUGCCCCCUAGGAGCUUGGAGGAGCUGUACCUGCACGGGGGGAAGAAGGACUUCGGGAGCUGCGCCGUGGUCGCGUCUGCUGGGGCCAUCCUGCACUCCGGACUGGGACAAGAGAUCGAUUCCCAUGAUGCAGUGCUGCGGUUCAACGCGGCUCCCACCAAGGGCUUUGAGAGGGAUGUGGGAAACAAGACCACCAUCCGGGUCAUCAACUCCCAGAUCCUGGACAACCCCAAGCACAAGUUCAACACCAGCUCCCUCUAUCAGAAUGUGACUCUGGUGGCAUGGGACCCUGCACCCUAUGCUGUCAACCUACACGAGUGGUAUGCCAGCCCGGACUACAACCUGUUCAGUCCGUAUGUGGAGCACCGGAAGCUGCGUCCCAGCCAGCCCUUCUACGUGCUGCACCCCAGAUACGUGUGGCAGCUCUGGGAUCUGGUCCAGGGCAACACCCGGGAGAACAUCCAGCCCAACCCGCCCUCGUCAGGCUUCAUAGGCAUCCUGUUGAUGAUGGCGCUGUGCGAGAAGGUGCACGUGUACGAGUACAUCCCCUCGCUGCGUCAGACGGACCUGUGCCACUACCACGAGUCCUACUACGACGCCGCCUGCACGCUGGGCGCCUACCACCCCCUGCUGUUUGAGAAGACCCUGAUCCAGAGGAUCAACGAGGGCCUUGAGGAGGACCUGAAGAAAAAAGGCCGGGUCACCCUGCCAGGCUUCAGCACCGUCCACUGUGACCUCUGAACUCCGACCUUCUUCCCCCACUCCUCGGAGAACCUGUCCAAGAACGGAAGAACCGCCACAGCCAUUCUCCAGGUCAGGUUCUGGCGUUCUAGGACUGAGGUAUGGUGAAAUGGUGACUGAACCCCUCAGGCUGAAACGGAACCACUUAGAACCGUGGAGAACCAAAGCCAUAGCCACUAAAUGUGGGACCAACAAAGGAAACCAUGACCAGAACCAGAGACUGAAAUCGCAAAAAAACCUCCAUGUUGUGUGAGGGGAACACAUCUUCUGAUGCACAGAGCAUGCUGAUCAGAAGUCGGAUCCAGGUGUUAACAAGCUGUGUGUGUCCGUGCACUACGUUGCUGAGCAGUGAAUAGACUGCCAGUCUAAGGACAGAGGACAGAGACUGUGCUGAAAAUAAGAGCAGAUCGUCUGAUGGUUCAUCAGGCACUGAUUUAUGUGCGUGUGUGUGCUUGUUUCCAUGCCUGCUCACUAGGAAAUCACAUCCAGCGGUUGGAGAGAGAGCUGGUAUUAUUGGCCAGAUUUCUACAAGCUUCAAAUGCAAUGCCUUCUGGCCAAAUGCAGGGGAAUCUUGAAAUUGUGCCAAAUUUCUGUUAUUUACUUUUGCUCAGGCCUGGUUAGGUGGUUUACUGCAAGGUAUGUGGUGUGUGUGUGUGGGGGGGUCAUCAUUAAAAACAAAUAUGGAGCACCUAAAGGGGUCAUGGUAGCGUUAAGUGUUAAUCUGAAUGGUGCUUGGAUCCAUAUGGGGUAGAGCCGAGAUCAUUACUGGAGAUUGGUUCCCAGAUUGGAGGUCAACUGGUUAUCUUGGCCUCUCAAACACAUCUGUAUAUCUUCCAAUCUGCUCUCUUUGUGCUUAACCAACUCCUAUCAUCUCUCACACAUGCUCUCCCCCCCCCCUCCCUCCCUCAGAGGAAGGAGUGCUGUGGGUCCAUGCCGCCUUUGAAAUGAAAACAAUGUUCAUCUUCUCCCUCUUUCACUUAACACCUUCAAAGUCCCUUUGGAGGUUCUGAAUGAGGCCUCCUGUGAAGGCAGGGAGGAAGAGGGAGAUUAAGCGUUCCACAAUAAUAAGAGCUCUUGAAAAGCCUUUUGCCAUCACAACAGCCUUUGGGUUGAUUUCUUCAUUUUUCAAAUUUUCUUUUAUGAUUUGUCAUUGAAAGCCUCUUUCUUAGGCUUGAAUGGAAAUGUAAAUCGACUGUUUGUAUGAUUUCAUACAUUGUUCCUUCCGUGAUAUUGUUUUUUGUAUUUUUACUGUGUAAAUAAACAAUGUUGUACAUGCA